AUUUAUACCUUUUUUCGUAAAAAAUCUCGGGAAAAGGGUUCGUGCGUUCUUCCUCCAAAGCCAUUCAUGGAGUUCGUGGCACUCUCUAACGCUACCCAACUUGGGAGCUUCAACCCCCUUAGAACCAACCUUCAAAGUUCAACACAACACCCUCUUCCUUUUUCUUAUGUUUCUUUCCCUUCUUCCUCUCGCAGAGGUUGCUCUUGCAAAGCCAUCCUCAGCACUCACACACCCACCCACCUCUACCCACAACAUUUUUGGACCUCAUUCCGCUGAUUUUGAGCUCUCUGCUUUGACGGCUCUAUCCCCAUUGGAUGGUCGUUAUUGGGGAAAAGUUAAGGAACUGUCUCCUUUUCUGAGAGAAUAUGGCUUAAUAUGCUUUCGGGUUCUUAUUAAAUGGUUGCUGCAGCUGUCUCAGAUUCCUGAAAUUGUUGAGGUUCCCAGUUUCAGUGAAGGUGCUACAAUAUUUUUACAAGGCUUGAUUGAUGACUUUAGUGUUGAUGAUGCCUUGGAGGUUAAGAACAUUGAGAGGGUCACAAAUCAUGAUGUGAAAGCAGUGGAGUACUUCUUGAAACAGAAGUGCCAAUCCAAUGCAUAAGUGGUCAAGGUGCUUGAGUUUUUCCACUUUGCUUGCACAUCUGAGGAUAUAAAUAAUCUUGCACAUGCCUUGAUGCUGAAGGAAACAAUGAAUUCUGUCAUGGAUAAAAUAAUCAAAGCUUUGUGUGACAUAUCUGAAGAUAAUGCUCAUGUCCCGAUGCUUUCUCGCACUCAUGGACAGCCAGCUUCACCAACUACUUUGGGAAAAGAAAUGCAAUAUUUGCUAUGAGAUUAAGCAGAGAAAGGAAGGAACUGUCUCAGGUUGAGAAUAUUGGGGAAAUUUUCUGGUGCAGUUGGAAAUUACAAUGCACAUGUUGUUUCAUAUCCUGAAGUUAACUGGCCUCACAUUGCAGAACAGUUUGUACAAUCUCUUGGAUUAAGUUUUAAUCCUUAUGUUGCUCAGAUUGAAACUCAUGACUACAUGGCAAAGCUUUUUCAUUUGCUCAUCCAGUUCAAUAAUAUAUUGAUUGAAUUUGAUAGAGAUGUAUGGGGCUAUAUAUCUUUGGGUUACUUUAACCAGACCACUAAGGCUGGGGAGGUUGGGUCUUCAACUAUGCCUCACAAAGUGAAUCCUAUUGAUUUUGAGAACAGCGAAGGUAAUCUAGGUGUAGCUAAUGGAGGUCUGUCUCAUCUAAGCAUGAAGUUGCCAAUUUCGCAUUGGCAGAGGGACUUGACAGAUUCAACUGUCUUAAGGAACAUGGGUGUAGGCAUAGGGCAUUCUCUUCUUGCCUACAAAAGCACACUUCGAGAAAUAGGGAAGCUUCAGGUUAAUGAAGCUCGCUUGAGUGAAGACUUGAACCAGUGCUGGGAGGUGCUUGCUGAACCAAUACAGACUGUUAUGCGAAGAUAUGGUGUUUCCGAACCUUAUGAGAAGUUAAAAGAACUAACCAGAGGGAGAGCAGUUACCCAAAAGAGCAUAAGAGACUUCAUUGAAGGCUUAUAUAUUCCAGAAGAAGCAAAGAUGAAUCUGUUAAAGUUAACACCUGAUACUUAUGUUGGAGCAGCAGUUGAAUUGGCUAGAACAGUGAAAAAUGUCGUGAAUACUGUGUAUGGAAGAAAGAUCUAGGAAACAAACAAGUGGUUGAAGCAGUUUUCUCGAGAACUAUUGGCAAGACAAUUUUGCAUCCUCACCAUCAUUGACCAAAUGGUCAUUAAUUGAUAUAUGAACUUUUAAA
RNA transcript from Glycine soja, 1772 nucleotides. It is a transcript of the gene named adenylosuccinate lyase-like, with no coding region annotated. Lineage: Eukaryota; Viridiplantae; Streptophyta; Magnoliopsida; Fabales; Fabaceae. The record is from RefSeq and is a predicted model, not a curated record. The transcript is spliced from 9 exons.